RNAcentral lists this non-coding RNA (282 nucleotides) under Setaria italica (foxtail millet). The record is from RNAcentral. Lineage: Eukaryota; Viridiplantae; Streptophyta; Magnoliopsida; Poales; Poaceae.
GCUGAGCUCGGUUGCGCGGGCUUGUAACCCAAGUGGGGGCAUUAAGAUGGUGAGGAUGUUUGGUGCGAACUCUGAGCCUGGGUCUGUGGUGUGCCCUUGCUGGCUCUGCCCGUUAAAAGUUGGUAUUAGCCUGUGCGGCCCAAGCGAAAGCUGGUAGGAACGGGCUUCACUGGACCUGAAGUGGUAGGAACGCGAUCAGUGCCCGCUUCCAACAGUGGAAGGACAAUAGGCCGCUACAUCAUGGGUCCGACCUGGACCCCGAGGAGUUGGUGGCGAGGAUCG